UAGUAACGGCGAGUGAAGCGGCAACAGCUCAAAUUUGAAAUCUGGCCCUCGGGUCCGAGUUGUAAUUUGUAGAGGAUGCUUUUGGUGCGGUGCCUUCCGAGUUCCCUGGAACGGGACGCCAUAGAGGGUGAGAGCCCCGUCUGGUUGGACACCAAGCCUCUGUAAAGCUCCUUCGACGAGUCGAGUAGUUUGGGAAUGCUGCUCUAAAUGGGAGGUAUAUGUCUUCUAAAGCUAAAUACCGGCCAGAGACCGAUAGCGCACAAGUAGAGUGAUCGAAAGAUGAAAAGCACUUUGAAAAGAGGGUUAAAUAGUACGUGAAAUUGUUGAAAGGGAAGCGCUUAUGACCAGACUUGAGCCCGGUUAAUCAUCCAGCCUUCUGGCUGGUGCACUUGGCCGGCUCAGGCCAGCAUCAGUUCGGCGCGGGGGAUAAAGGUUUCGGGAAUGUGGCUCCUCCGGGAGUGUUAUAGCCCGUUGCGUAAUACCCUGCGCUGGACUGAGGUUCGCGCAUCUGCAAGGAUGCUGGCGUAAUGGUCAUCAGCGACCCGUCUUGAAACACGGACCAAGGAGUCGUCUUCGUAUGCGAGUGUUCGGGUGUCAAACCCCUACGCGUAAUGAAAGUGAACGCAGGUGAGAGCUUCGGCGCAUCAUCGACCGAUCCUGAUGUUCUCGGAUGGAUUUGAGUAAGAGCAUACGGGGCCGGACCCGAAAGAAGGUGAACUAUGCCUGUAUAGGGUGAAGCCAGAGGAAACUCUGGUGGAGGCUCGCAGCGGUUCUGACGUGCAAAUCGAUCGUCAAAUAUGGGCAUGGGGGCGAAAGACUAAUCGAACCUUCUAGUAGCU
RNAcentral lists this ribosomal RNA (839 nucleotides) under fungal sp. RNAcentral describes it as "partial large subunit ribosomal RNA". It matches the Rfam family "Eukaryotic large subunit ribosomal RNA", at positions 81 to 952 of the family's 3401-position model. Lineage: Eukaryota; Fungi. The record is from RNAcentral.